AGAGUGAACGCUGGCGGUAGGCCUAACACAUGCAAGUCGAACGGCAGCACAGUGGUAGCAAUACCAUGGGUGGCGAGUGGCGGACGGGUGAGGAAUACAUCGGAAUCUACCUUUUCGUGGGGGAUAACGUAGGGAAACUUACGCUAAUACCGCAUACGCCCUUCGGGGGAAAGCCGGGGAUCGCAAGACCUGGCGCGGAUAGAUGAGCCGAUGUCGGAUUAGCUAGUUGGUGAGGUAAUGGCUCACCAAGGCGACGAUCCGUAGCUGGUCUGAGAGGAUGAUCAGCCACACUGGAACUGAGACACGGUCCAGACUCCUACGGGAGGCAGCAGUGGGGAAUAGUUGGACAAGUGGGCGCGAAGCCUGAUCCAGCCAUACCGCGUGGGUGAAGAGGCCUUCGGUAGUAA
This 407-nucleotide ribosomal RNA is filed under the name uncultured soil bacterium. RNAcentral's name for it is "bacterial SSU rRNA". It matches the Rfam family "Bacterial small subunit ribosomal RNA", at positions 26 to 428 of the family's 1533-position model. The record is from RNAcentral.